CGUCGGCGGGGGCCUCGGGA
This 20-nucleotide small nuclear RNA is filed under the name Arabidopsis thaliana (thale cress). Its description in RNAcentral is "snRNA_18401". The record is from RNAcentral. Lineage: Eukaryota; Viridiplantae; Streptophyta; Magnoliopsida; Brassicales; Brassicaceae.